Molecule: transfer RNA, 74 nt
Filed under: Bradyrhizobium sp. AS23.2
Lineage: Bacteria; Pseudomonadati; Pseudomonadota; Alphaproteobacteria; Hyphomicrobiales; Nitrobacteraceae
Description: tRNA-Met
Source: RNAcentral
CGCAAGGACUCAUACCGUUAGAGCACGGGAAUCAUAAUCCUGGGGUCGGGGGUUCGAUCCCUCCCCCGCUACCA